UAGAAAUCUUGGCGACUUCCUCCUUGUGCCCUGCUGUCUCUGUGGAAGGAAGAGGCACAGGAGGGAACUGAGGGGAGGGCGCCGGGAUGUGAGGCUCGCCUCUGUAUCCAGUAAAACCAUUAUCCUUCUUCAUUUCCACUAGAGUACCUCCAUUUCUGCAUGGUAUUUUAUACUCAAUUAGUUCCUGGAGAUGUUGCCAGAGACUAAUGUGUUCUGUGUGCAUACUGAAUAACCGCGGGGAUUUUUUUAAUGUUGUUAUUUGUUUAGAUCACACACACACACACACACACACACACACACACACACACAUAUAUAUAUCAGACAGCAGUGAUAUAUUAAUUGUUCAUUUGGAGCAUAGAGUAACUAGCCUGAAACCAUUAUUCUUCAAUUUGUUUCAUCCAUUCUUGACCCAAAUGCUGUUUUGAAAUGGGAAGGAAGCCAAUGUGGUGUCAGUAUUUGGAAUCCAUGCACUUAUGAGAAUGGUGCACAUUUUGAAGAGCUGAUAUUUUAAAUCACAAUGAAGUUCAGUUAAGCAGAUUUUUAAUGAUUUGCAUUUUCGACACCUACUGAAGGGAUUUCCUACGGUCACACCAUGCCUGGGCUUCGAGGGUGGACUGCAGGGCUGAAGGCAGUGAAUGACCACUGGAAGUGGUGCCGAGCCAACUCGCCUGUUCUUUCUCUGGCCUUUUGUCUACCAGUUUCAAAGGCAUUCCUGUGGGAGAGGGCACUGGUUGGAGUAAAGAGCUUUGAAAAUGAGAAGUUGCAACUCCUCUCCAGGGCACUUGGAAGGCCUGGUGUUUUUCAACAAGGAAACAGGAACAAUGGGAAGAAAUUUAUUUUAGCUGCAAGCGGGGCUACUGAUAAGGGCCAACCUCCUAGCUGGUCUCUGUGCUUCUAGUUACUGAGCAAGCACGGGGAGGAGCAAGAAUGAAAUGACUGACAUCCCCGCAGCACCCCGUCCUCGCGUUCCAAUAAGCGAGACUCAAGUUCACUCACUUGUGAAGAGGACCUGCGACAGCCCUUAUUUCUUCUGUCACCUUGACUUCCAGUGUAUUGUGCUGACUGACCUCUCCUAAACUAGAAAGAAAUGACUGCUGAUUUGACCACUAUCCUCUGGGGCUAAAUGUCAGGGGUCAAGAUCCAUAGCUACAGAGAAUUCAGCUUUGCGUGAAAAGACUGGAACGUGGCUUCGUUGAUGGGGCUAAAUAUUUAGACAUCAGGGGGCAGUGGUUUUGUGUAAGCAAACUCAGUGGAAACCAUUAAAGCUAGUGAGACUCUGCCACAUUAAAGUGCUGAAGACGUCUGGUAGUGACAACUGCACACAGACUGGUAAAACCCAGAGCCUUCUCAAGGCCCCACGGCAGGACACUCAGAUAUUGAUCAAUUUGGGUUUGAGAUCUCUUUCCCAGGCUGCCUCUUGACUAUCCUUGGCCACACUGAUGGAAGAGUUCUGCUUUAUGUUUUCUAAGAUUUGAGAACGUUGUAAAAAGAGAAAGGAUUAAAGAGUCCAGAGACCAGCUCAAAAUAUUAAAAGGAAGUUUGGUUAUUUAUAGAAACAAUUAGGAUUUCCAAAAUAGUAAAAUAUAUACAAGAAAGAUAUCCUUUUUGGAUCUCAGUGAGUUCGAGGCCAACCUGGUCUACAAAGCUAUAUCCAGGACAGCUAGGAGAGUUAACACAGAGAAACCCUGUCUCAGCCGCCACCGUCACUCCUGCUUCCCCAAAAGAAGAUAUUCUUCUUGUAGACUCUGAAUUGAUGCAUGGAAAAUGAUUGUUACACAUCUGUGUCAACACAGAUUCUGAAUUCUAUUUGGGUCAAUACCCAGGAAUGGGACUCCUGGGCAAUAUGUUUGUGUAUAGCUAAUUUUGUCUAACUUUGAGAAACUACAGACCGCCAUUCAGUAUUCCUAGCAGCCACAUAUGACAGAUAUAGAUGGCCCACAUCUUUAACACUUGACAUUAUCAGGCUUUCAUUUCAGCCUGACUAAUAACUAGUUUAUGAUAGCUUACCAGCAUUAAUUCACUUUACUUGGUAACUAAUAACAUUGCUCAUCUUUGCAUGCAUAGAUCUGUUUUUCCUCAAUAAAGAAUCCAGCUGUUUAUAUUUACUAUCUUUUUCUUUUGUUUUUUUUUCUUUUUA
Molecule: long non-coding RNA, 2137 nt
Organism: Mesocricetus auratus (golden hamster)
Lineage: Eukaryota; Metazoa; Chordata; Mammalia; Rodentia; Cricetidae
Exons: 3
Source: RefSeq, a predicted model, not a curated record